UAGGGAAUCUUCCACAAUGGGCGCAAGCCUGAUGGAGCAACACCGCGUGAGUGAAGAAGGGUUUCGGCUCGUAAAGCUCUGUUGUUAAAGAAGAACAUAUCUGAGAGUAACUGUUCAGGUAUUGACGGUAUUUAACCAGAAAGCCACGGCUAACUACGUACCAG
RNAcentral lists this ribosomal RNA (164 nucleotides) under uncultured bacterium. RNAcentral's name for it is "partial 16S ribosomal RNA". It matches the Rfam family "Bacterial small subunit ribosomal RNA", at positions 355 to 511 of the family's 1533-position model. The record is from RNAcentral.